Molecule: ribosomal RNA, 135 nt
Filed under: Triticum aestivum (bread wheat)
Lineage: Eukaryota; Viridiplantae; Streptophyta; Magnoliopsida; Poales; Poaceae
Description: partial small subunit ribosomal RNA
Source: RNAcentral
AAUGGAAUCAAAUACGCAGUAUUUACAGAAAAAAGUCUUCGUUUAUUGGGAAAGAAUCAAUAUACUUUUAGUGUCGAAUCGGGAUUCAUAAGAUUCUUCUUUCUUAUUCUUAAGCAAGCCCUCGAGAGGGCUUAG